UUAUUAUGAAAUCUAUUCUUUGUGCAAGCUUUGCUCAUUUAUAUUGAUAUUGAUGAGUUUGUAGCAAUUAUAAAGUCUUCAAUCUAUAUAUUCUUGGGGUUUGUUUUAUUUUCCUCUUUCUCAAAAAUUUUUGUCAAUGUGUGAAGUUUCAUUGCACAAUGUUCAGAAUUGAUCUAGCUGGAGACUGUUAUUAAUUCUCUUUUUAGUCACUUUCCCAAUUUAGCUCAUAGAUGGACGAUGAUUGUUAAAUCACUAGUUGCCCCCAAAGUUUAGGCUUUUAUACGUUGAAUCACUAGUUGUCUCAAAAACUUAAUCUCAUUAGGAAUGGUGAAUUUUAUUUAUAUUCGAACAAUGACAUAAUCGAACUUUCAGUUCAGUUCACUUCUCCAAUCUUUUUGGACGGUGUUAUGAUGAUUUGACCAUGCAUAGAGGUAUUCUAUAUAUUCAGAUCUUUAAGAAAUUUCUCUCAAAAAGCAAAAAGAAAAAAAAAAGAAAAAAAAAAGAACACCCAAAAUCUAUGAAAAUAUAAAGAAUACAAGUUCUAGUUGACUUGUUUUCAAAGAACCUUUUAUUAGAUGCUAAGAUUGUUCGUGUAAGAAAUAAAAUUUUCUAAACUGUUAUGCUCCAGUUUUUUCCCCAAGCCAAGCCAUUGUGUACAGUGUACUGGUUUCUGUCUAAGAAGCCAGCUGAACCGUCCAUCUUAGGUGCUUACUUGGCCACAGUAUGCAUGGUUUCACACUGAAUUUUUAGAGAUUUUUAUUAGGGUCUGAAAGGUAAUUUCCAUUGGCUCAUGGAUGAAGGUUUUGUCCAUUAAUUUUUUUUUCUUAUCAAUUUUUUUUUUUUUUUCAACUCACAUUCGUAGUUUUCUGUUUAUUAGUCAAUGGCUCAUUGGCCAAAUUUAGAGCCUCAACUGAGGCUGAAUUGUUAUAAAUGUGGUGUUGUCAUGAAAGAUGAAUUUUAAAGUCAGAACAGAAAGCAUUGGCAUUUAAGGAUGUAAACUUCUUACUGACACCUUUGUAUGUUUAGGCUACUGCUUUUGGCAGGAUCCGAUUUCCCUCUUUUUUAGGUUAUUUUAUUUUAUUUUUAACUUUCUAUUGUAAUUUUUAGAUCCUUUUGUAUGCAAUCUGGCUACAUGACAUUUCUCCUUUCUCUAAUAAAGUUGUUCAAAUAAAAAUGUUAAUCAAUCCUGAGGCAGAAUCAUUCUGUAAGAGUUUAAAACCGCUUGCAUUGCUUCUAUCUUGUUAUUUUAAUUAUUACGUGUAUGAUCUUGUUCUCUUAUUGUUAAGUAUUUUACCUGAGCCAUUCCACUUGUAUGUGGAUAUGUCUGACUCAGCUGACUGGAAUAGCAGUUUGUGGGACUUUGCAAAGGUGGGUAAGGGGUGCAGUGGUCUUAGGUUGGAAAGCAUUAAAAAGAAGUAGAUAACCAUCCUUUAUGAGGUUUUGAGGCUUAUAGUUCUUAAAAUUGUAUGCUGUGGAAGAGGUUUUAUUUUUCCUUUUUUUUUUUAUUUUUGGUUUCAGUAAGGUAGUUCAUGUGCUCAUUGUAUGGCUUUUAUUUACUUUUUUUGUUGACUAUUCAGGGUCAAUUAUUCCAACUGAUGCAACGCCUAGAAAGCACCACACCUCAUUUCAUACGAUGUAUCAAGCCCAAUAACCUUCAGUCUCCCAAAUUGUAUGAGCAAGGACUUGUGCUGCAGCAGUUAAGAUGUUGUGGAGUCCUAGAAGUAGUACGAAUAUCAAGAUCUGGCUUUCCCACCAGAAUGUCUCACCAGAAGUUUGCCAGAAGGUAAAGAAAGAUAAUAUUUUAUCUUCAGUUACAGCUCUAGAAAUUGUUAUAUAUUUCCUAAUUGAUUACGAAAUCCUUCUUUUCUUUCUUUGGGGGGAUAAAUCUUACAUCAGAUAUGGUUUUCUUCUGCUGGAGAAUGCCGCGUAUCAGGAUCCACUAAGUGUUUCAGUUGCAAUUCUUCAUCAGUUCAAUAUCUUGCCUGAAAUGUAUCAAGUUGGCUACACAAAGUUGUUUUUCCGAACUGGACAGGUACUUUAUAUAUAAUUGAUCUUGGUUAUUGACUAAAUUAUUAGUUUCUCUCUUUUCUUUUCUUUUUUUUUUCUUUGGGUGGGGAGGAUGGUGGUGCAUGGCAUUUACAUGGAUUCUUAAUACUAUUCAAGAAGUCCUGCCUCCCAUUGGAAUGAGAAAAUGAAUUUGGAGGAGAAAUUGCACAUGAUAGUUUGAAGUUUCCCCUUAGGAAGGGGUGGUCAUAUUUUCUUGUCGUAGCUCUGUAGGGCUGUGAUUGAGCCAAUCCGAGCAACACUUUGGCUGUUUGGGUCAAGUACUAGAAUUUGUUGUUGGUGAGUAGCUUUGUCACCAUGUUGAGUAGGAGACCACAAGAAGAUACCACAUGGUUAAGUAGAGAAAAAAUGAGGCAUGACAGUCUCUGUAUAAGGGUUUUGUGCAGCCCAUAGCAGACCAUAAUUGUGAAGACAAGCUUUGUCUAAUGUGUGUGAGUACUCUAUAAUUGGGUGUAUUGGGUUUUGCGCUUGCGCCUGUGAUGUUAUUUUAUUUCUUUCUUUUUGCUAAAAGGUAAAAAACAUGUGUACAAGUAUCGAAUAAAGAUCUGUUACAGGGAGGUAAUAGAAAGUGUGAUUUUAGAUAGAUUAGAAUGGCGGCAAAGAGUACUUCUAGCCUACUUUGCUUAAUUUGAGGAUCUAGAUAGUCAACCCCAAUUUACUUGGGGCUUAGUUGAGUUGAGUGAAGGGGUUGAGAGUUUUUUAGUUCUUAUUGGUGGUAAUGGCUUCUCUCCUUGUUCGUGUAUGUAGAUAAGUUUGUAAUUUGCAUAUUCAAUUUAUUUUAAUAUUGUUUGAUAUCUAGGGUGUGCAAAUAAAGAAAAAUGCUUGUUGUCCAUCUUUUUGGUCCAUCUUUGGUUUUUUUUUUUUUUUUUGCAGGUGAUGCAGCGCAGUGAUGGGCCUCUGUUUUUUAGGCGCAAAAAAGAAAAAGAAAAAAAAAGACCAAAGAUGGAUAACAAGCAUUUCUCCUAAAUAUUUGUUUUAGUUCAUCUCAAAACAUGCGGGAAAAGCUUGGCUGCUUAAGCUUGCAUCAGCUUGAUGAUAAUUGAGUCUGAGCUCUAGCUCGUUUUGAGCUUGAUCUUGGACUUUGACUUGGGCUUGAAGCUCAUCCUCGUUGGCCUCGCCCACCUUGUCAACUUCCUUCCCUUUCUUUCACCAGUACACAUAUCAAAAUCAAUUCUGUCUUACCUCCUGUUGUUAGAUCAUUUAAGACAAAUCUACUAAAAUGGAGGGUAGAAAAUGGAGAUUAGGAACACAUAUAGAUAGAUUAGAGACAUCAAUCUUGAUGAACUUCGCAGCUGUGGUGUGGAUCACCAUUUCUAUGAACUAGCUACGUCCACACCAAAGGAGACACCAAAGUGCUACAAAUUCUAUCACCAUCUCCUCAAUCAAGAAAGGAAAAUCAAAAUCCAAAAAAGCCCUUGAUGAUAAGGUGUGGUUGUUGCAUAAAAGAGAGAAGCUUCAUUUGUGGGUUGGGAUCUGGAGAUGAUGGAGAGAGCAUAGAGACCCUUGCCUUUUUUUCCCUUAAAGAAAAAUGUUUAGAAGGGUAAUUAAAUUCUUAAUAAGUCUAUAUACUCCU
Molecule: non-coding RNA, 3637 nt
Filed under: Betula luminifera
Lineage: Eukaryota; Viridiplantae; Streptophyta; Magnoliopsida; Fagales; Betulaceae
Source: RNAcentral